AGAGUUUGAUCCUGGCUCAGAAUGAACGCUGGCGGCGUGCUUUACACAUGCAAGUCGAGCGAGGCGGCCCGCAAGAGCCAGUCGAGCGGCGAACGGGUGAGUAACACGUGGAUCAUCUGCCCAGAGGUGGGGGAUAACCCGGGGAAACUUGUGCUAAUACCGUAUACGCCCUAAGGGGGAAAGAUUUAUCGGAAUUAGAUGAGCCCGCGUAAGAUUAGCUAGUUGGUGGGGUAAUGGCCUACCAAGGCGACGAUCUUUAGCUGGUCUGAGAGGAUGAUCAGCCACACUGGGACUGAGACACGGCCCAGACUCCUACGGGAGGCAGCAGUGGGGAAUAUUGGACAAUGGGCGAAAGCCUGAUCCAGCCAUGCCGCGUGAGUGAUGAAGGCCCUUAGGGUUGUAAAGCUUCUUUCAGUAGGGAAAGAUAAAUGACGUACCUACAG
This 443-nucleotide ribosomal RNA is filed under the name uncultured bacterium. Its description in RNAcentral is "bacterial SSU rRNA". It matches the Rfam family "Bacterial small subunit ribosomal RNA", at positions 8 to 484 of the family's 1533-position model. The record is from RNAcentral.